RNAcentral lists this long non-coding RNA (292 nucleotides) under Jatropha curcas. RNAcentral's name for it is "long non-coding RNA (JCUR_LNC002839)". Lineage: Eukaryota; Viridiplantae; Streptophyta; Magnoliopsida; Malpighiales; Euphorbiaceae. The record is from RNAcentral.
GCUCCUCCGCCUUGGGAUCUACAUCCGCUACUGCCACAGCAGUUGAUUCAGGUUCUGAUUUCGACGCUUCUUCAGGUUCAGGAGCAAGAUUUUGUUCUGGUGUAGAUGCUGGUUCAUUAUCAGGUACAGGAUUUGGUUCUGGUGUUGAUGAUGCUGGUUCAUCAUCAGGUACAGGAUUGGGUUCUGGCUCUGGUACCCGUUGAGGUCCGGCUCCAUUUUGCAAUUCAGAUUCUUCGGAGGUGGAAGUGGACAUUGCAGGGAGGCUUAGGGGUUUUGCGAAGAAAUUGCUGUC